RNAcentral lists this ribosomal RNA (444 nucleotides) under uncultured bacterium. Its description in RNAcentral is "partial 16S ribosomal RNA". It matches the Rfam family "Bacterial small subunit ribosomal RNA", at positions 339 to 795 of the family's 1533-position model. The record is from RNAcentral.
CUACGGGCUGCUGCAGUGGGGAAUAUUGCACAAUGGGCGCAAGCCUGAUGCAGCAACGCCGCGUGAGGGAUGAAGGCCUUCGGGUUGUAAACCUCUUUUAGCAGGGAAGAAGCGAAAGUGACGGUACCUGCAGAAAAAGCACCGGCUAACUACGUGCCAGCAGCCGCGGUAAUACGUAGGGUGCAAGCGUUGUCCGGAAUUAUUGGGCGUAAAGAGCUCGUAGGCGGUUUGUCACGUCUGCUGUGAAAAUCCAAGGCUCAACCUUGGACUUGCAGUGGGUACGGGCAGGCUAGAGUGCGGUAGGGGAGAUGGGAAUUCCUGGUGUAGCGGUGGAAUGCGCAGGUAUCAGGAGGAACACCAAUGGCGAAGGCACAUCUCUGGGCCGUAACUGACGCUGAGGAGCGAAUGCGUGGGGAGCGAACAGGAUUAGAUACCCGCGUAGUC